Long non-coding RNA from Capsicum annuum, 1640 nucleotides. RefSeq lists it as uncharacterized. The record is from RefSeq and is a predicted model, not a curated record. The transcript is spliced from 3 exons. NCBI's taxonomy places the organism in Eukaryota, Viridiplantae, Streptophyta, Magnoliopsida, Solanales, Solanaceae.
CCACAACCCAGUCAGCCCAUUACCUUUUCCCCCACUUCACACUUAACCCCUCUUUAGCAAUAACAUCCAUUCAACAUACAACCACCAUAACAAAAUCUUGAAACAGCGUACAAAAGCCAGCUCCAACAAUAUCAGCAAUAAGAUGGACAACAACACGCAUCAACUUCAACGAAAAACUUCUCCAAAUUACGGAAAAUCUCUCCUUUCAUCUUUGUCUCUAAAGUUUUCAGACCUCGAGCCUUGACUGUUUGACUUUGAAAUUCUCUAUUUUCUUGCAAUUUUGGGGGCAUGUCUUCCUCCCACUAGUGUUUUCCUCCAAUUUGUUCAAUCAAUUUGAGGUACCCUGUUCAAACGGCUAGUUGGGAAACUAAUAUCAAUAUUUCCCCUAUAAAUAGAGACAAAGUUGGGGAAGAUUUUGUUGCUGGUCUUUUCUUUUGAUUUCAGUCUAAAUCUUGGGUUUUCGAGUUUCAGUUUAUGGCCGGAAAUUCUUGACGCGAAGCUUUAGUUUGCUGCCCCGCAAAAGGAAAGAGUAGUCAUCGUAGUGAAGAUAUUUGGAAUAAUGGCUUAUGUGACACAUUGACAUAUCGUUAGUAUGAUGGUGACUUUUGGAACUAUAUAAGUAGAAAUCCAUUAAAUGAGUGUGUGUCGUUACUUGCUCGAUGCUGAAUUUUAUGGUAUAUAUGCACCUGGACACAAGCCACUUGAUCAUGCUAUGAUCACUGCGUUGGUAGAAAGAUGAUGGUCAGAAACACACACAUUUCAUUUAAACUUUGGAGAGGCCACAAUUACAUUGCAGGACGUAGCUAUAUUAUAUGGACUGCCAGUCGAUGGAUUACCUGUGAUGGAAACAGAUCUUACCUUGAACCCUACAAAGUGGCAAACAAGUAUGGUAGAUCUUCUUGGUUGGGCAUCGAUAGAUAUUGAUCGAGAAUUUGCGAAUUUGUCCAAAGUUGGUCAAUAUUCUUGGGUUGCAGCAACACUUGCAAUACUUUAUGGAUAUCUUUGUCGUGCAUCGCAAAAAGGAAUUAGAAUCGCAAAAAGGAAUUAGAGUCAUUGAUGGUUUUUUACCUUUACUUCAGUUUGUGUGGCAGCCAUACAGUCCCGAUGUUUUUGCUACAUUACCAGAUUAUUGUGUGAAUGAUUCCACUGUUUGGCGUGCUAUUGUGCCCGUAAUAGCUUGGGAUGUAGUUGAGUGGCACUAUCCAGAUAGGGUGCUACGUCAGUUUGAGUUGAUUCAGAAUAUUUCGAGUAAAAUAUUGUGGGAUCCCAAACAUUUUCAGUUGAAUCGGAGAGGUUGAGCUAACUUUAAUUGGCAUCAUUUUUUUAUUAAAGAGACGAAAUCGCAAUGCUGAGCCUGAUUGUCUCAAAGAUGACAAUGAAUAUAUGCAGUGGUCUAACACGAUUACUCGUCAUUUGAUCAAUAAUCCGGCUCAUCAAUUUAGACAAGGUUAUCAGAGUUUUGCAGGCAGACACAAAAUUUUUGUACAACACUACCUUAUAAUUAUUUGCAUAAUUAUGCUUUACUUUCAGCUUCCUUACGUAAGUUCUAGUAGGUCAUAAAGUUAUGUGAUAUUAUUAGUAAAAGCCCACUUUACGUUACAAUUUACAACAUCAUAAAAAAAGAUUUAUUUAGCAUUCAA